AUGCUUGAAUUGAAAGGAUAUAUUUUUAGAAAAACCUCAAUAUUUUUUUUUUUAAUUUUCAGUGUAAGAGAUCGAGUGCUUAUAAGAAGUUGGCAACUCAUUUGAAAUUAUCGGGACCGAACGGACUUCCUCACACUUCAAGAAGUCCAAUAAUACCUGUGGAAUGGUGAAAUUAUACUGUCAACUUUACUGCAGAAUAACAAAACCACAACGAUUCGUAAGCGUCAAUAAUAAACGUGGAGGUGUGGAGAGCAUGCGCUUAUGAAGAUUCGUUUCCUAGAAUAGUAAUAAAAAUUAUGAUAUACCUA
Molecule: long non-coding RNA, 308 nt
Organism: Leptinotarsa decemlineata (Colorado potato beetle)
Lineage: Eukaryota; Metazoa; Arthropoda; Insecta; Coleoptera; Chrysomelidae
Source: RefSeq, a predicted model, not a curated record